Molecule: ribosomal RNA, 446 nt
Filed under: uncultured bacterium
Lineage: Bacteria
Description: bacterial SSU rRNA
Rfam family: Bacterial small subunit ribosomal RNA
Source: RNAcentral
CCAGACUCCUACGGGAGGCAGCAGUGGGGGAUAUUGCACAAUGGGGGGAACCCUGAUGCAGCGACGCCGCGUGGGUGAAGGAGUAUUUCGGUAUGUAAAGCCCUAUCGGCAGGGAAGAAGCAAGACGGUACCUGACUAAGAAGCCCCGGCUAACUACGUGCCAGCAGCCGCGGUAAUACGUAGGGGGCGAGCGUUAUCCGGAUUCACUGGGUGUAAAGGGAGCGCAGGCGGGAAGCCAAGUCAGCUGUGAAAACUACGGGCUUAACUUGUAGACUGCAGUUGAAACUGGUUUUCUUGAGUGAAGUAGAGGUUGGCGGAAUUCCGAGUGUAGCGGUGAAAUGCGUAGAUAUUCGGAGGAACACCGGUGGCGAAGGCGGCCAACUGGGCUUUAACUGACGCUGAGGCUCGAAAGUGUGGGGAGCAAACAGGAUUAGAUACCCCUGUAC